This is a long non-coding RNA of Columba livia (rock pigeon), 393 nucleotides long. RefSeq lists it as uncharacterized. The record is from RefSeq and is a predicted model, not a curated record. The transcript has 2 exons. Lineage: Eukaryota; Metazoa; Chordata; Aves; Columbiformes; Columbidae.
CUUCCAGAGCUGGGGAGUGUCAUGAUGCACAAAGGUGACAGAUGAAGAAAGCAGAGGGUGUAACUGAAGAAGGAAACAGUAACUACAGCAAAACUGGGCUGAAGCUUAGCAAAACUGUCAUAAAGAGGAAUAAUAACUUCAAUUAAGAGGCAGAGGUUGUGCUCACAGCAGCUUUCUCACACUGUUCCAGUGAGGCAUGCCCAGGUGUUCUAACACAAGAAUAUUCUGCAGAUGUCCACUGCAGCAUUCUUUGUACAUUCCCUGAAAAAAAAAAAAUUGCUUCUGGAGCAACCGGUGUGCACCAUUAAUCCCACGUGCUAGGAGGAAAGGUGGAGGCUAACAAAUGCAGUUUUUAAAAGCAUGAGUGGUGCUAGCAAAUUGUUAUCUAUCUCA